RNAcentral lists this ribosomal RNA (629 nucleotides) under Fuscoporia scruposa. RNAcentral describes it as "partial large subunit ribosomal RNA". It matches the Rfam family "Eukaryotic large subunit ribosomal RNA", at positions 256 to 867 of the family's 3401-position model. The record is from RNAcentral. Lineage: Eukaryota; Fungi; Basidiomycota; Agaricomycetes; Hymenochaetales; Hymenochaetaceae.
UUCAAAGAGUCGAGUUGUUUGGGAAUGCAGCUCAAAAUGGGUGGUAAGCUCCAUCUAAAGCUAAAUAUUGGCGAGAGACCGAUAGCGAACAAGUACCGUGAGGGAAAGAUGAAAAGCACUUUGGAAAGAGAGUUAAACAGUACGUGAAAUUGUUGAAAGGGAAACGCUUGAAGUUAGUCGCGUCUUACUUGACUCAGCCUUGCUUCGGCUUGGUGUAUUUCAUGUGAGACGGGUCAACAUCGAUUUUGACCGGCAGACAAGGGGAGUAAGAAUGUGGCACUCUUCGGAGUGUGUUAUAGCUUAUUCUCAUAUGUGUCGGUUGGGAUCGAGGACCGCAGCGCGCCCUUGUGGCCGGAGGUUCGCCUCACGUUACGCGCUUAGGAUGUUGGCAUAAUGGCUUUAAGCGACCCGUCUUGAAACACGGACCAAGGAGUCUAACAUGCUCGCGAGUGUUAGGGUGGAAAAACCCUUGCGCANAAUGAAAGUAAAAGUUGGGGAACCUCCGCAAGGGGGCGCACCGACGCCCGGCCCAGAAGUUUACGGACGGUGCUGCGGUAGAGCGCGUAUGUUGGGGACCCGAAAAGAUGGUGAACUAUGCCUGAAUAGGGCGAAGCCAGGGGAAACCCUGU